This 458-nucleotide unclassified non-coding RNA is filed under the name fungal sp. RNAcentral describes it as "partial internal transcribed spacer region". The stretch from base 1 to 46 matches the Rfam family "Eukaryotic small subunit ribosomal RNA", at positions 1786 to 1831 of the family's 1831-position model. The record is from RNAcentral. Lineage: Eukaryota; Fungi.
AAGUCGUAACAAGGUUUCCGUAGGUGAACCUGCGGAAGGAUCAUUACAAUACGUUUACACGUAUCCAACCCCAAUAGUUGCACAGUGAGCAUGAGUCCGUUAGGUGUGGUUAUGGCCUUUUCAAGGCGGAAACGUUGAAAUUUCAAACCAAAACCGUAUUGUGCCUUCGGGCGCGAGAGGUUUCAGUUUGAGAUGGAUCAAAGUGCCUUGAAAUAGCUUAUCGCGUCGCUCAUUCGUGAGUGAUAUGAUAGACCUAUCCUAGCACGCGUACUCUUUCCUAAACUUUGAACCAUCGUUUGUUUUCCAUUUCAUUAACCCUUAUCACCUUAACAUUCAACAAUGAACUUAACGCGAUCUUUUGCUUCGAAAGGAGCAAUCUUAUGAUCGACAAGAUACGAAACUUAAGAACAACUCUUAACAACGGAUAUCUUGGCUCUCGUACCGAUGAAAAACGCAGC